GCACAUAUAGCUCAAUUGGAUAGAGCGUUAGACUUCGGAUCUAAGUGUUGUGGGUUCAAGUCCUACUAUGUGCG
This 74-nucleotide transfer RNA is filed under the name Clostridiales bacterium GWE2_32_10. RNAcentral describes it as "tRNA-Arg". It matches the Rfam family "tRNA". Rfam says of the family: Transfer RNA (tRNA) molecules are approximately 80 nucleotides in length. Their secondary structure includes four short double-helical elements and three loops (D, anti-codon, and T loops). Lineage: Bacteria; Bacillati; Bacillota; Clostridia; Eubacteriales. RNAcentral also lists the same sequence under 1 other name. The record is from RNAcentral.